GGCUUGUUGGUCUAGUGGUAUGACUCUCGCGUUGGGUGCGAAAGGUCACGGGUUCGAUUCCCGUGCAAGCCC
This 72-nucleotide transfer RNA is filed under the name Dendronephthya gigantea. RNAcentral's name for it is "tRNA-Pro". It matches the Rfam family "tRNA". Rfam says of the family: Transfer RNA (tRNA) molecules are approximately 80 nucleotides in length. Their secondary structure includes four short double-helical elements and three loops (D, anti-codon, and T loops). The record is from RNAcentral. Lineage: Eukaryota; Metazoa; Cnidaria; Anthozoa; Malacalcyonacea; Nephtheidae.